RNAcentral lists this small nuclear RNA (68 nucleotides) under Pteropus alecto (black flying fox). RNAcentral's name for it is "U2 spliceosomal RNA". It matches the Rfam family "U2 spliceosomal RNA", at positions 1 to 73 of the family's 192-position model. From Rfam's summary of the family: U2 is a small nuclear RNA (snRNA) component of the spliceosome (involved in pre-mRNA splicing). Complementary binding between U2 snRNA (in an area lying towards the 5' end but 3' to hairpin I) and the branchpoint sequence (BPS) of the intron results the bulging out of an unpaired adenosine, on the BPS, which initiates a nucleophilic attack at the intronic 5' splice site, thus starting the first of two transesterification reactions that mediate splicing. Lineage: Eukaryota; Metazoa; Chordata; Mammalia; Chiroptera; Pteropodidae. The record is from Rfam by way of RNAcentral.
AUCGCUUCUUGGCCUUUUGACUAAGAUCAAGUGUAGUAUCUGUUAUCAACUUGCACUGUUAACUCCUA